Pelobates cultripes (western spadefoot toad) is the source of this 268-nucleotide non-coding RNA. The record is from the annotation of a GenBank genome assembly. NCBI's taxonomy places the organism in Eukaryota, Metazoa, Chordata, Amphibia, Anura, Pelobatidae.
UCAAACUGGAGACCAGAAAGUAAAUUCUAGCUGCAUAAACCAAUGCACUGAACUGCUUAUUGUCCCCAUUUAGAGAGGCUUGCAUGAGUAAUAAGCCUAACUGUAGCAACAGCUCCUUUCCUUUAUCCUAUGCCAUUCUGGGCAGUUGGAAGUUGGUGCACAGAGAGCCAUCUGCCUCUCUCCAUCGGUGUGUAAUCAACUAAGUCCAGGUUAAGGCGUCUGGGUGAGGUUUUUUUUUUUUUCGUUUUUUUUCCUUGGGAUUUUAAAC